GACAGGCAAAGAGGGCCAGUGUGGCAGCACUUAAUUCAAUGGAACUUUUCCUUCUGUAUAACCUGAGGCACUCUGGGGUUCUUGAACCCAGCAGCUGGGCAAGAUAAUCAUUGUAAUAAGUGAUAAAUUAACCUGUUCCACUCUCCUUUGCAUGGGUGUGAUGAGCUUUAAGUAAACCAGUGAGCACUUGCCAAAAGCUUGUUCUUCGCCAGGGAGGAGGGAGAAAAAUAUAGCUUGCGAUAGAUAAAGUAACUCUGCUUCCCCAGGAAGAGGAACAGAGACAAUUAAAGAUCACAACUGAGGAUGAUUUAAAAACCGAGGCACAGCCAAGACCUUUCCUCCUCCUGUGCUCAUCAAGCAAUCACCGCUCAUCACCCCUCUGCUUCAAACACCUCAUUUGCAUCUGGCUGACCUUGACUCCCCUCUGUGGAUGGGAAGAUGAAGAGGUGGAAGUGUAAAAGAUUGGAAUUUUAUGGGUGAGUUGUGAAAUAGUGGUUGGUGCAGGCUGGUUUUAUGGAAACAUCGAGUGCUGUGCCAUGGAGGAUGAGAGUAAAUGGAUUAAACAGGAGAUGAAAAGAGGAAGG
RNAcentral lists this long non-coding RNA (584 nucleotides) under Cyanistes caeruleus (blue tit). Its description in RNAcentral is "lncRNA (ENSCCEG00000021579.1)". Lineage: Eukaryota; Metazoa; Chordata; Aves; Passeriformes; Paridae. The record is from RNAcentral.